This 492-nucleotide ribosomal RNA is filed under the name uncultured bacterium. Its description in RNAcentral is "partial 16S ribosomal RNA". It matches the Rfam family "Bacterial small subunit ribosomal RNA", at positions 29 to 507 of the family's 1533-position model. The record is from RNAcentral.
AGUGAACGCUGGCGGUAGGCCUAACACAUGCAAGUCGAACGGCAGCACAGUAAGAUCUUGCUCUUACGGGUUGCGGGUGGCGGGCGUGUGACGUAUACAUCGGACUCUAGUUUUUCGUGGGGGAUAACGUAGGUGAACUUACUCUAAUACAGCAUACGCCCUACCGUGGAAAGCAGGGGAACUUCUGACCUUGCGCGGUUGGAUGAGCGGAUGAGGACUUAGCUAGUUGGGGGGGUGAAGGCCCAGCCAGGCGCCGAUCCGUAGCCCGUCUGAGAGGAUGGUCGGCCACCCUGGAACUGAGACACGGUCCAGACUCCUACGGGAGGCAGCAGUGGGGAAUAUUGGACAAUGGGCGCAAGCCUGACCCAGCCAUACCGCGUGGGUGAAGAAGGCCUUCGGGUUGUAAAGCCCUUUUGUUGGGAAAGAAACGCAGCAGGUUAAUACCCCGCUGUUCUGACGGUACCCAAAGAAUAAGCACCGGCUAACUUCGUG